UACGAAGGGGGCGAGCGUUGUUCGGAUUUACUGGGCGUAAAGGGCGCGCAGGCGGCUUUGUUUGUCAGGCGUGAAAGCCCCGGGCUUACCACGUGGAACCGCGCUUGAGACUGGCAUGCUCGAGUUCGGGAGAGGAUGGUGGAAUUCCCAGUGUAGAGGUGAAAUUCGUAGAUAUUGGGAAGAACACCGAUGGCGAAGGCAGCCAUCUGGACCGACACUGACGCUGAGGCGCGAAAGCGUGGGGAGCAAACAGG
RNAcentral lists this ribosomal RNA (254 nucleotides) under uncultured bacterium. RNAcentral describes it as "partial 16S ribosomal RNA". It matches the Rfam family "Bacterial small subunit ribosomal RNA", at positions 524 to 776 of the family's 1533-position model. The record is from RNAcentral.